Molecule: ribosomal RNA, 246 nt
Filed under: uncultured bacterium
Lineage: Bacteria
Description: partial 16S ribosomal RNA
Rfam family: Bacterial small subunit ribosomal RNA
Source: RNAcentral
GAUCCUGACUCAGGAUGAACGCUAGCUACAGGCUUAACACAUGCAAGUCGAGGGGCAGCAUGAACUUAGCUUGCUAAGUUUGAUGGCGACCGGCGCACGGGUGAGUAACACGUAUCCAACCUGCCGAUGACUCGGGGAUAGCCUUUCGAAAGAAAGAUUAAUACCCGGUGGCAUAGUUCUUCCGCAUGGUAGAACUAUUAAAGAAUUUCGGUCAUCGAUGGGGAUGCGUUCCAUUAGGUUGUUGGG